ACUCCUACGGGAGGCAGCAGUGGGGAAUUUUGGACAAUGGGCGCAAGCCUGAUCCAGCCAUGCCGCGUGAGUGAAGAAGGCCUUCGGGUUGUAAAGCUCUUUCGGCCGGGAAGAAAUCGCAUUGGUUAAUACCUGGUGUGGAUGACGGUACCGGAAUAAGAAGCACCGGCUAACUACGUGCCAGCAGCCGCGGUAAUACGUAGGGUGCGAGCGUUAAUCGGAAUUACUGGGCGUAAAGCGUGCGCAGGCGGUUUUGUAAGACAGGCGUGAAAUCCCCGGGCUCAACCUGGGAACUGCGCUUGUGACUGCAAGGCUAGAGUACGGCAGAGGGGGGUGGAAUUCCACGUGUAGCAGUGAAAUGCGUAGAGAUGUGGAGGAACACCAAUGGCGAAGGCAGCCCCCUGGGUCGAUACUGACGCUCAUGCACGAAAGCGUGGGUAGCAAACAGGAUUAGAUACCCUGGUAGUCCACGCCCUAAACGAUGUCAACUAGGUGUUGGGAGGGUAAAACCUUUUAGUACCGGAGCUAACGCGUGAAGUUGACCGCCUGGGGAGUACGGCCGCAAGGUUAAAACUCAAAGGAAUUGACGGGG
This 592-nucleotide ribosomal RNA is filed under the name uncultured bacterium. Its description in RNAcentral is "bacterial SSU rRNA". It matches the Rfam family "Bacterial small subunit ribosomal RNA", at positions 335 to 918 of the family's 1533-position model. The record is from RNAcentral.